Molecule: ribosomal RNA, 465 nt
Filed under: Vreelandella stevensii
Lineage: Bacteria; Pseudomonadati; Pseudomonadota; Gammaproteobacteria; Oceanospirillales; Halomonadaceae
Description: partial 16S ribosomal RNA
Rfam family: Bacterial small subunit ribosomal RNA
Source: RNAcentral
CCUACGGGGGGCAGCAGUGGGGAAUAUUGGACAAUGGGCGAAAGCCUGAUCCAGCCAUGCCGCGUGUGUGAAGAAGGCCUUCGGGUUGUAAAGCACUUUCAGUGGGGAAGAAAGCCUUGGGGCUAAUACCCUCGAGGAAGGACAUCACCCACAGAAGAAGCACCGGCUAACUCCGUGCCAGCAGCCGCGGUAAUACGGAGGGUGCGAGCGUUAAUCGGAAUUACUGGGCGUAAAGCGCGCGUAGGCGGUCUGAUAAGCCGGUUGUGAAAGCCCCGGGCUCAACCUGGGAACGGCAUCCGGAACUGUCAGGCUAGAGUGCAGGAGAGGAGAGUAGAAUUCCCGGUGUAGCGGUGAAAUGCGUAGAGAUCGGGAGGAAUACCAGUGGCGAAGGCGGCCUUCUGGACUGACACUGACGCUGAGGUGCGAAAGCGUGGGUAGCAAACAGGAUUAGAUACCCGGGUAGUC